Molecule: microRNA precursor, 97 nt
Filed under: Cajanus cajan (pigeon pea)
Lineage: Eukaryota; Viridiplantae; Streptophyta; Magnoliopsida; Fabales; Fabaceae
Description: miRNA gene-KK1_039814
Rfam family: mir-399 microRNA precursor family
About the family: mir-399 was identified in both Arabidopsis thaliana and Oryza sativa computationally and was later experimentally verified. mir-399 is thought to target mRNAs coding for a phosphatase transporter. The mature sequence is excised from the 3' arm of the hairpin.
Source: Rfam by way of RNAcentral
AUUUGCAUUACAGGGCAACUUCUCUAUUGGCAGGUAGCCACUGUGCAUCUUUCUUAGUGUGCAAUCUGCCAAAGGAGAUUUGCCCAGCGAUUCUCCU